AACGCACCUUGCACUCCUUGGUAUUCCGAGGAGUAUGCCUGUUUGAGUGUCAUUAAAUUCUCAAACCUCAUAGGCUUUAUUGACUAUUGAGGCUUUGGAUGUGGGAGUUGCUGGCUUUUCACGAAGUCAGCUCUCCUUAAAUACAUUAGUGGUUACUGUUCUCCACUUCUUGGUGUGAUAAUUAUCUACGCCAUAGUGAAGAAGUAAAGUGUAGCUGCUUUCUAACCGUCCAUUUACUUGGACAACUUGAACCAUUUGACCUCAAAUCAGGUAGGACUACCCGCUGAACUUAA
This 293-nucleotide unclassified non-coding RNA is filed under the name uncultured Mycena. RNAcentral's name for it is "sequence contains ITS2". The stretch from base 1 to 52 matches the Rfam family "5.8S ribosomal RNA", at positions 103 to 154 of the family's 154-position model. Lineage: Eukaryota; Fungi; Basidiomycota; Agaricomycetes; Agaricales; Tricholomataceae. The record is from RNAcentral.